Non-coding RNA from Xylaria sp. FL0933, 111 nucleotides. NCBI's taxonomy places the organism in Eukaryota, Fungi, Ascomycota, Sordariomycetes, Xylariales, Xylariaceae. The record is from the annotation of a GenBank genome assembly.
GGCCAGGUGGCAGAGUGGUUAAUGCGCCAGACUCGAAUUAAAAGCUAUUUAAAGCCUUUUAUCGUUAAUCUGGUUCCUUCGGGAGCGUCUGUUCGAAUCAGGCCCUGGUCG